Molecule: ribosomal RNA, 253 nt
Filed under: uncultured bacterium
Lineage: Bacteria
Description: partial 16S ribosomal RNA
Rfam family: Bacterial small subunit ribosomal RNA
Source: RNAcentral
UACGAAGGGGGCUAGCGUUGUUCGGAAUUACUGGGCGUAAAGGGCGCGUAGGCGGUGUGUCAAGUCAGGCGUGAAAGCCCCGGGCUCAACCUGGGAACUGCGCUUGAGACUGGCACGCUAGAGUUCGGGAGAGGAUGGUGGAAUUCCCAGUGUAGAGGUGAAAUUCGUAGAUAUUGGGAAGAACACCGAUGGCGAAGGCAGCCAUCUGGACCGACACUGACGCUGAGGCGCGAAAGCGUGGGGAGCGAACAGG